GUUAUACUACCUCCGUCCGGAAAUACUUGUCCUAAAAUUGAAUAUAAUGAAUGUAUCUAUAACUAAAAUAAGUUAGAUACAUUCAUCUCUAGGACAAGUAUUUCCGGAUUGGAGGGAGUAUUAC
Non-coding RNA from Hordeum vulgare subsp. vulgare (domesticated barley), 124 nucleotides. NCBI's taxonomy places the organism in Eukaryota, Viridiplantae, Streptophyta, Magnoliopsida, Poales, Poaceae. The record is from Rfam.